GACGAACGCUGGCGGCGUGCUUAACACAUGCAAGUCGAACGGAAAGGCCUGCUUUCCCUUGUGGAUUGCGGGUACUCGAGUGGCGAACGGGUGAGUAACACGUGAGUGAUCUGCCCCCAACUUGGGUAUAAGCCUGGGAAACUGGGUCUAAUUCCCGAUAGGACUGCAGGGUGGUGCCUGUGGUGGAAAACGAUUUUCUAGUGGUUGGGGAUGAGCUCGCGGCCUAUCAGCUUGUUGGUGGGGUAAUGGCCUACCAAGGCGGCGACGGGUAGCCGGCCUGAGAGGGUGGACGGCCCCAUUGGGACUGAGAUACGGCCCAGACUCCGACGGGAGGCAGCAGUGGGGAAUAUUGCACAAUGGGCGGAAGCCUGAUGCAGCGACGCCGCGUGGGGGAUGACGGCCUUCGGGUUGUAAACUCCUUUCGACCGCGAGGAAGCCACCUGGUUGGAAGGGUGGUGACGGUAGUGGUAGAAGAAGCACCGGCUAACUACGUG
RNAcentral lists this ribosomal RNA (494 nucleotides) under uncultured bacterium. RNAcentral's name for it is "partial 16S ribosomal RNA". It matches the Rfam family "Bacterial small subunit ribosomal RNA", at positions 28 to 507 of the family's 1533-position model. The record is from RNAcentral.